RNAcentral lists this ribosomal RNA (585 nucleotides) under Pezizomycotina sp. T31902FG0. Its description in RNAcentral is "SSU rRNA". It matches the Rfam family "Eukaryotic small subunit ribosomal RNA", at positions 194 to 784 of the family's 1831-position model. The record is from RNAcentral. Lineage: Eukaryota; Fungi; Ascomycota.
GGAAGGGGUGUAUUUAUUAGAUAAAAAACCAACGCCCUUCGGGGCUCCUUGGUGAAUCAUAAUAACUUAACGAAUCGCAUGGCCUUGCGCCGGCGAUGGUUCAUUCAAAUUUCUGCCCUAUCAACUUUCGAUGGUAGGAUAGUGGCCUACCAUGGUGGCAACGGGUAACGGGGAAUUAGGGUUCGAUUCCGGAGAGGGAGCCUGAGAAACGGCUACCACAUCCAAGGAAGGCAGCAGGCGCGCAAAUUACCCAAUCCCGAUACGGGGAGGUAGUGACAAUAAAUACUGAUACGGGGCUCUUUUGGGUCUCGUAAUUGGAAUGAGAACAAUUUAAAUCCCUUAACGAGGAACAAUUGGAGGGCAAGUCUGGUGCCAGCAGCCGCGGUAAUUCCAGCUCCAAUAGCGUAUAUUAAAGUUGUUGCAGUUAAAAAGCUCGUAGUUGAACCUUGGGUCUGGCUGGUCGGUCCGCCUCACCGCGAGUACUGAUCCGGCUGGACCUUUCCUUCUGGGGAACCUCAUGGCCUUCACUGGCUGUGGGGGGAACCAGGACUUUUACUGUGAAAAAAUUAGAGUGUUCAAAGCAGG